RNAcentral lists this ribosomal RNA (419 nucleotides) under uncultured bacterium. RNAcentral's name for it is "bacterial SSU rRNA". It matches the Rfam family "Bacterial small subunit ribosomal RNA", at positions 355 to 772 of the family's 1533-position model. The record is from RNAcentral.
UAGGGAAUAUUGGGCAAUGCCCGCAAGGGUGACCCAGCCAUGCCGCGUGCAGGAAGAAGGCCUUCUGGGUUGUAAACUGCUUUUGGAAGGGAACAAAAUGGGCAUGCGUGCCAACUUGAGUGUACCUUCAGAAUAAGCACCGGCUAACUCCGUGCCAGCCGCCGCGGUAAUACGGAGGGUGCAAGCGUUGUCCGGAUUUAUUGGGUUUAAAGGGUGCGUAGGCGGCUUAUUAAGUCAGGGGUGAAAGACUAUUGCUUAACAAUGGCAGUGCCUUUGAUACUGAUAGGCUUGAGUACAGCUGAGGCAGAUGGAACGGGUGGUGUAGCGGUGAAAUGCAUAGAUACCAUCCAGAACACCGAUUGCGAAGGCAGUCUGCUAAACUGUAACUGACGCUGAGGCACGAAAGCGUGGGGAUCGAA